This 253-nucleotide ribosomal RNA is filed under the name uncultured bacterium. RNAcentral's name for it is "partial 16S ribosomal RNA". It matches the Rfam family "Bacterial small subunit ribosomal RNA", at positions 524 to 776 of the family's 1533-position model. The record is from RNAcentral.
UACGAAGGGGGCUAGCGUUGUUCGGAAUUACUGGGCGUAAAGGGCUCGUAGGCGGCCAACUAAGUCGGAUGUGAAAUCCCCAGGCUUAACCUGGGAACUGCAUCCGAUACUGGAUGGCUUGAAUUCGGGAGAGGGAUGCAGAAUUCCAGGUGUAGCGGUGAAAUUCGUAGAUAUCGGGAGGAACACCAGUGGCGAAGGCGGCGUUCUGGACUGCAACUGACACUGAGGAACGAAAGCCAGGGGAGCAAACGGG